CUGGUUGAAUUUGGAGGCUCAGGACUCUGACUCUGAAUUUAGAGAAGGUCCAGCUGUGAGGGGGAUGGAGUAUUUCCCAGUGAGAAACAGGUCAGGCUUUACAGCAUCACAGUCUGUUUCUGUAAUGAAUAACAUCUAGGAACUAGCAGCAGCACUUUCCUUCUGAAUGGGAUAUUGUUUCAAGAAAAAUUGAAAUAGAAAAAUGAAAUCUCUCUCUCUUUUUUUUUUUUUUUAAACAUUCUUAAGGGUUUUUAUUGGGAAAAAAAAUGCACGAUGAUCAAUAUGAAAUAUUUUGUCAGACCAAAUCUGAGUUUCGUGGUGGUAGGGAAAAAAAGUAAGUAAACUUGGGUUAAAAAACAACACCUAGCAAGGGUCAAAUACCCUUUUAAUUUCCCACUGUUGUGCUUUCUGGGCCACUAAUCAAUGUACAGUUACCAGCUGACCUUCCCAGUUUUUUAAGACAGUCAGUUAGGAAUUCAUGAUUAAUGCAUAAUCUUCUUCACGAAGCAGUUGCUGCUGCGACACCAACGUACUCACAAAGCUGGAGGGCUGCAGCACCCAAAGCUGCUUCUUGGCCUCGGGUACCUGUACCAGGCCCCUUGAUGGAGACAAGGAGCCACAGCAGAGGAGAGCAGCAUCAGGAUCCUUGUGCUCCAGGCAGACUAGGAGCACCUGGAAGGCAGAGCUGAUGAGCAGCCUGGAGAUGCAGGAGUCAGACGGCAAUGGCCAUCUCCAGGGAUGUUCCUCCUCGAUCUGCUGUGCAGCUUCAUCAGGAAACCCAGCCAGGUGGUGACGGGGAAGGGAGAGAGCAUUAAGAGAUCCUCAUCAGAUUUAAAGCAGUAAUGCUCGGUGGACCUAUGUUUGUUGUCCAAGAACAUUUCUCAAAAUCCUGGCUUUCUGAGCUUGUAUUUGUAACAGCCUUACUGCUAGCAAUGUAUCUUCUGUGUGUGGU
Anas platyrhynchos (mallard) is the source of this 952-nucleotide non-coding RNA. The record is from RefSeq and is a predicted model, not a curated record. Lineage: Eukaryota; Metazoa; Chordata; Aves; Anseriformes; Anatidae.